Molecule: long non-coding RNA, 1631 nt
Filed under: Marmota monax (woodchuck)
Lineage: Eukaryota; Metazoa; Chordata; Mammalia; Rodentia; Sciuridae
Source: RNAcentral
GUUGUUUAGGGCCUCACUAAAUUGCUGAGGCUGGUCUUGAACUUGCAAUCCUCCUACCUCAGCCUCUCCAGUCUCUGGGAUUAUAGGUGUGCACCACCAUACCUGGCUCUGAUAUUGGAGUUUUUUUAAAGAUUAAAAUGUUGAGAGGUACUAAUUGUUGAUAUUAAACUGUAUUGUCUCAGAAAUGGAGUCUAUAAAGAUGACCCAGCACUAGUUGAUUCCUCAAGUUUUGAGCUAAAAUCUGGUCAGUUAUUCUUUAACUGAAAUAACUCUCUAACUGAAAUUUCCUUAUUUAUUUAUAAUUAUUUAUUGAGUAAAGAUCUCCUGAUUCAAAAGAAAUUUAUGACUCUAUGCUACCAUUACUAAAUAAGUGAAUUAAUGCAGAAAAUAGGAAAUUAUCCCAUAGAGGGGUAUGCCAAUUAAACAUGCAAGAAAUAAUAGAAAAUUUCCACUGAUACUAAAAAUGUUCAGUGGGGAGACAGCUAGUCUCAUAGUAUCUCCCCACAAUUUUUACAAAAGAAAAAAAAAAAUCUCAUAAUUGAGGAGACUUGUCUAUCACAAGAUAAUAAUUAUGACCAUUUUCAUUCCCUUGACAAUUAUUUUUUAUUGUACACUUUUUUUUUUUUUAACUUUACCAGUGAGUUUUUAUCACUUAAUGAUCCAGGGUCCCAAGGUAAGAACUACCAUGUACCCAAGUCCUCCUUUACCAUCCUGGGAGAAGGACAGGAGAACCAUGUAGAACCAGUUUAAAUCUUCCCAGGAAAUAUGCCUUCUGCCGCAUGUUCAUCUUUAGAUGAGAUGCAGGAUAUCGAGCAGAGGGACUUACACACAUUCAUACCAGUACCACAUACACACACAGACAUCACUCCCCAUUUGCAGUCAUUGCCUUCUCACAGAGAUGGAAGUUAAGAUAAUCUGACAGCAGUUUCUGAUCUGAUUCCAGCUAUCAAAAGAGACAGUCUUACAGUUCUUGAUUUUCUUCUUCUUCUUUUUUUUUUUGGUUCUAGAAAUUGAACCCAGGGACGCUUAACCACUGAGCUACAUGCCCAGCCCUUUAUGUGUGUGUGUGUAUUUAGAGUCAGGAUCUUGCUGAGUUGCUUAGGACCUCACUAAGUUUCUGAGGCUGGCUUUGAACUCGUGAUCCUCCUGCCUUAGCUUCCACAGUCUGGCAGCAUUACAGGUAUGCACCACCUUGCCUGGCUUGAUUUUGUUCUUGGUGUCUCUUGAUAUGAUGCUGACUCCUAAAGUCGCUCUUUGAGCAGCAUGUGGCUCAGUGUCUAAGCCUUUGAGUUAUUUUCUCAGUGGUUGCCCUUAGGAUUAUAACAUCUUGAUUUACAACUUAAUAAUUAAUAGCAACCCAUGUUAGGGAUGGUGGCACACACCUAUAAUUCCAGCUAAUUAGAAUGCUAAGGCAGGAAAAUUGCAAGUUUGAGGCCAGUCCGGGCAUCUUAGCAAAACCCUAUCUCAAAAAAAUACAAAGGGCUGCUCAGUGGCAGACUGUUGCCUACCAUCAUUAAGCCCUGGGUUCAAUCCCCAGUUCCAUAAAAAAAAAUAAUAACUUAAAGGCAUACAAAAAUUUUACUCAUAUAGCUCUGUUCCCUUUCUGCUGUUAUAUCUGUAUAUCAUAUGCC